This is a long non-coding RNA of Oncorhynchus keta (chum salmon), 1006 nucleotides long. RefSeq lists it as uncharacterized. NCBI's taxonomy places the organism in Eukaryota, Metazoa, Chordata, Actinopteri, Salmoniformes, Salmonidae. The transcript has 4 exons. The record is from RefSeq and is a predicted model, not a curated record.
CUAUUAUUCCAUUAGUUUAGAUUCAACACAUUUCUCUCCUGCUCUGAAUAAUAGAGCCUCCUCAGUCAGGAUCCUAACCACAGGUUGCUAGGGUGGUUACUAGGAGGAGCUUCCUCAGUCAGGAUCCUAACCACAGGUUGCUAGGGUGGUUACUAGGAGGAGCCUCCUCAGUCAGGAUCCUAACCACAGGUUGCUAGGGUGGUUACUAGGAGGAGCCUCCUCAGUCAGGAUCCUAACCACAGGUUGCUAGGGUGGUUACUAGGAGGAGCCUCCUCAGUCAGGAUCCUAACCACAGGUUGCUAGGGUGGUUACUAGGAGGAGCCUCCUCAGUCAGGAUCCUAACCACAGGUUGCUAGGGUGGUUACUAGGAGGAGCCUCCUCAGUCAGGAUCCUAACCACAGGUUGCUAGGGUGGUUACUAGGAGGAGCCUCCUCAGUCAGGAUCCUAACCACAGGUUGCUAGGGUGGUUACUAGGAGGAGCCUCCUCAGUCAGGAUCCUAACCACAGGUUGCUAGGGUGGUUACUAGGAGGAUCCUCCUCAGUCAGGAUCCUAACCACAGGUUGCUAGGUGGUAACUAGGAGGAGCCUCUUCAGCGAGGAGAUCUGGACUGAUGCUGUCUGAUCAGUGCUAUCUAACACCCAUACUAGGACUGAAUACCAUUAUCAGCACCCUGGUUUGAUAUCUAGCCCUGCUGACUGACAUGGAGGAUUAAAACCCGGCUAGCUAGUAGCUACGUUAUCCAGGUAGGUUGUUGUGUGUACUGGUACCGGCUGAAAAGCACCACUAUUGUGUGGUAUCAAAGUUGUCGAGCCGAAACCCAAGUUUAAUCCCUUUCACGGUGUCCUCUUUGUGAAAAAUGAACCUUUUGACAAUCAAUGCAAAUUGAUUUCUCCAUUCAAUGUUGACCUGCCUGCACCUCUGCAUCGGCCAUGGUAAUUUCUUUCCCCACCUGAUAAGCAACCUGAUCCAUAUUAAAUCAAUUGUAAUUAGCUGGUGGAAGGGACU